GCGGAUGUGGCGGAAUUGGUAUACGCGCAUGGCUUAGGACCAUGUGGGGCAACUCAUGGAGGUUCGAGUCCUCUCAUCCGCA
Molecule: transfer RNA, 82 nt
Filed under: Patescibacteria group bacterium
Lineage: Bacteria
Also listed under: 2 other names
Description: tRNA-Leu
Rfam family: tRNA
About the family: Transfer RNA (tRNA) molecules are approximately 80 nucleotides in length. Their secondary structure includes four short double-helical elements and three loops (D, anti-codon, and T loops). Further hydrogen bonds mediate the characteristic L-shaped molecular structure. tRNAs have two regions of fundamental functional importance: the anti-codon, which is responsible for specific mRNA codon recognition, and the 3' end, to which the tRNAs corresponding amino acid is attached (by aminoacyl-tRNA synthetases). tRNAs cope with the degeneracy of the genetic code in two manners: having more than one tRNA (with a specific anti-codon) for a particular amino acid; and 'wobble' base-pairing, i.e. permitting non-standard base-pairing at the 3rd anti-codon position.
Source: RNAcentral